AAUGAACGCUGGCGGCGUGCUUAACACAUGCAAGUCGAACGAGAAAGGGGAUUGCUUGCAGUCCCGAGUAGAGUGGCGCACGGGUGAGUAACACGUAGAUAAUCUGCCUUCAAGCCUGGGAUAACUAUUCGAAAGGGUAGCUAAUACCGGAUAAAGUCGAUCUACACAAGUAGAUUGAUGAAAGAUUGCCUCUUCUGGAAAGCAAUUGUUGGGGGAUGAGUUUGCGUACCAUUAGCUUGUUGGGGGGGUAAAGGCCUACCAAGGCAACGAGGGUUAGCUGGUCGGAGAGGAGGAUCAGCCCCCCGGGAACUGGAACCCGGUCCAGACUCCUACGGGAGGCAGCAGGGAGGAAUUUUGCGCAAUGGGGGCAACCCGGACGCAGCAACGCCGCGGGAGGGAAGAAGGCCUUGGGGUGGUAAAGCUCGGUC
This 428-nucleotide ribosomal RNA is filed under the name uncultured bacterium. Its description in RNAcentral is "bacterial SSU rRNA". It matches the Rfam family "Bacterial small subunit ribosomal RNA", at positions 29 to 437 of the family's 1533-position model. The record is from RNAcentral.